Molecule: ribosomal RNA, 253 nt
Filed under: uncultured bacterium
Lineage: Bacteria
Description: partial 16S ribosomal RNA
Rfam family: Bacterial small subunit ribosomal RNA
Source: RNAcentral
UACGUAGGGCGCAAGCGUUGUCCGGAAUUAUUGGGCGUAAAGAGCUCGUAGGCGGUUUGUUACGUCCGCUGUGAAAACCCAGGGCUUAACCCUGGGCUUGCAGUGGAUACGGGCAGACUAGAGGUAGGUAGGGGAGAAUGGAAUUCCCGGUGUAGCGGUGAAAUGCGCAGAUAUCGGGAGGAACACCGGUGGCGAAGGCGGUUCUCUGGGCCUUACCUGACGCUGAGGAGCGAAAGCGUGGGGAGCGAACAGG